Molecule: ribosomal RNA, 610 nt
Filed under: uncultured fungus from ectomycorrhizal root
Lineage: Eukaryota; Fungi
Description: eukaryotic LSU rRNA
Rfam family: 5.8S ribosomal RNA (bases 228-381)
Source: RNAcentral
UCAUUAUUGAAAUAAUCUGUGGGUGCUGUGCUGGCCUCUCGGGGCAUGUGCACGCACUUGCUAAUUAUCAUUAUCUUCUUGUGAACCUAGUGUAGUCGUUUUGGCUUUUGAAGUGUAUGGGGGCAACCCUGUAAGGCUUUGAAGGCUCGAGCGACUAUGAUUUUAUAUAAACUAUUGUCUGUCCUAGAAUGUUACUUUAUUGACUGCGAAGUCAGUAAACUUUAUACAACUUUCAGCAACGGAUCUCUUGGCUCUCCCAUCGAUGAAGAACGCAGCGAAAUGCGAUAAGUAAUGUGAAUUGCAGAAUUCAGUGAAUCAUCGAAUCUUUGAACGCACCUUGCGCCCUUUGGUAUUCCGAAGGGCAUGCCUGUUUGAGUGUCAUUAAAUUCUCAACCUUGAGCCAGUUUUGCGACUGGGUCAAGGCUUGGAUGUGAGGGCUUUGCUGGCUUCCUUCAGUGGAUGGUCUGCUCCCUUUAAAUGCAUUAGUGGGAUCCUUUGUGGACCGUCACUUGGUGUGAUAAUUAUCUACGCCUUGUUGACUGUGGAAGCAAAACUUAUGGGACCCUGCUUAUAACCGUCCUUCGGGACAAUUUAUUGACCAUUUGACCUC